AUGAGCCCCUCUUCCAGAACUAGGAAUGAACUUUCCCCAGUACCAACAAGGCAGCCUCCCGGGCAAGAAAAGGUAACGGGAUCCAUCCUGCUGACAUCCAAGAUGGAAUUACAGGGUGCCUCCGACAUCUGCACAGCGCACACAACCAAGCUUAGGAACCCACUGUUAAGAUGCCCAAGUGACACAGACAAGUUUCUCCUCUGCGAGCCAAUGAGAUCUGCUGACAGAGCAUCGCGGGACCACUUAAGGAUUCUGGAAAAUGUGGUCCUGGGUGGUCACUGUCCACUGACCUUCGCCUGUAGGAACUCCUCCUCAAAACAGAGGAAGCCUAUAGGACUUUAACCUGGAAGCUACUCAGGGAAUCUGGAAUAUUCCUUCCGGGGAUAUCUACAAUUGAAACCUGGCAGUAACUUAAAACAAACCAGACAAUUCUUGGGGUAUGGCUGGAGCCUGAGGUCUACCGAUGGGUCAUUUUAUAUCCUGAGGUUUGAACAAGAUGAUUUUAACCCCUUAAAAUGAGGGAAACAAAAUAAAACAGAAUAAAUUGGAAGAGAACACAGAUGAGUGGUUUGAAGGGCCUACUUGCCGUGUUUCCUCUGGUCUUCAGGUCUCCUCGCUGCUGGGGGAUCCAGUGCAGCUCUAGACCAAGAAAUGGGAGGAUGUUAGAGUGACUGCUGAUUUCGCUAUCACCUGCAGUUAGUAAACAUUCUCCUCAGUGUAU
Molecule: long non-coding RNA, 721 nt
Filed under: Rhinopithecus roxellana (golden snub-nosed monkey)
Lineage: Eukaryota; Metazoa; Chordata; Mammalia; Primates; Cercopithecidae
Description: lncRNA (ENSRROG00000045845.1)
Source: RNAcentral